GGUGCUGUGGCUUAGUUGGUUAAAGCGCGUGUCUUGUAAACAGAAGAACCUGAGUUCAAGUCUCAGCAGUGCCU
Xenopus laevis (African clawed frog) is the source of this 74-nucleotide non-coding RNA. The record is from Rfam. Lineage: Eukaryota; Metazoa; Chordata; Amphibia; Anura; Pipidae.